UUGUCAUCGUCUAUCAGCUGAUCUCAUAUGGUCUGUGGUUUUAUAUACAGGUUGGUUAGAACAUUUCCUUACCUUGUGGCUCACUUGCGAUACUUAGUUGUAAAAAACGCUACGACCUGAAUUACAGUAAGGAAGGAUCACAAAACAAAAUACUACAGAUAAUUACACAAUGGUAUAGUAUUCGUGCUGACUCCUGAUUUAGAGGAAUGAUGUUAGAGUUUUUUUUGUAAUAGCAUAAUACAGCUCCACCAAGCAAACAAGUCCCUCGGAAAAUAUGCAAACUAAUUUAGAAAUUUCGUGGCGGGAAAACGUUAAGCCAAUACCAACAACGCAGGCGUGUACAGUCCGUAAAAAAUGUGACAGUGACACAUUUAUAUAUUAAAUGUUUAUAAAAUGCGCUUGUUGCACCAAGUUUAUCCGUACGGCAAGAAAAGAGAAGCAAACCUCUGCAAUUGUGCAUUCCGAAGCCAGAAAUGUCAUUAAAAGGGUCGUGGAAUUCUUUGGCAAAGAGAAAGCUGCCGGUGUGUACAUAUUUCCUUUGGGAAAGGGAGCAUAACUAGCUGCUGCUGCGACCGGCAAACCAACAAAAUUCAUAACCCAAAUUAGAUCGAAGUCAAACUUGCCGAUGAUAUAGGACAUGGAAAUUUUCAUCAAAGAAGCAAGGAAGUGCAACUUCCUACAAAAUAACAUUGGAUAAUUCUGAUUUACGCGUCUUGAAGAAUGAAAUUUACAUGAUCCAUAACAAAGUCUCUACAAUCAAUAAUUUAGUUAAUAAAAUGAAGAAGAAGAUUGGCUGCAUUGAAAGUAAAGAUCACAUUUUUUGACGAAACCUACAUCCAUCCAUUUUAUGGAGUGCUUGCUAACAAAAUAUGAACCUGGUGUAUAUAAAACUGACUGAAGCAGGAUGAAAUCAAUUGAAAUGAAUUGAAAAUGCACAUCUCAUCAUCAAUUCGAAAAGUAUAAGUCUGGAUACGACAUAAUCCACAUUAAGAGAUUGGAAGAAUAAAUGUGGCAACGCCAUGGAUUGUUAGAUGAAGCUGUAGAAAGUUUAUCUUUCACGGUAAUCACUGGCACGUCAGGCGAAGGUUCUAAAAUCAGUGAAGAGGAAAGUGAGGGAUGAUACUGUUUAAUUAGUUUUAAAUACACACUGCUUUGUCAUUAGUAGUACUUAGGUAAAUUUUGUUAUUUUGGGUUGUAAUUAUUGUACUAAAUUUCUUUCUCCAGUUUUCAAACGUAGCUGCAUUAAAAAAAUGACAAAAUA
Photinus pyralis (common eastern firefly) is the source of this 1261-nucleotide long non-coding RNA. RefSeq lists it as uncharacterized. Lineage: Eukaryota; Metazoa; Arthropoda; Insecta; Coleoptera; Lampyridae. The record is from RefSeq and is a predicted model, not a curated record. The transcript is spliced from 2 exons.